Molecule: ribosomal RNA, 254 nt
Filed under: uncultured bacterium
Lineage: Bacteria
Description: partial 16S ribosomal RNA
Rfam family: Bacterial small subunit ribosomal RNA
Source: RNAcentral
CACGUAGGGUGCGAGCGUUGUCCGGAAUUAUUGGGCGUAAAGAGCUCGUAGGCGGUGUGUCGCGUCGGCCGUGAAAACCUGCAGCUUAACUGUGGGCUUGCGGUCGAUACGGGCAUCACUGGAGUUCGGCAGGGGAGACUGGAAUUCCUGGUGUAGCGGUGAAAUGCGCAGAUAUCAGGAGGAACACCAAUGGCGAAGGCAGUGGUCUGGGCCGAUACUGACGCUGAGACGCGAAAGCGUGGGGAGCGAACAGG